GCCCGGCUAGCUCAGUCGGUAGAGCAUGAGACUCUUAAUCUCGGGGGUGGGUCGGGUUCGAGCCCCACGUUGGGCA
Perca fluviatilis (European perch) is the source of this 76-nucleotide non-coding RNA. The record is from the annotation of a RefSeq genome assembly. Lineage: Eukaryota; Metazoa; Chordata; Actinopteri; Perciformes; Percidae.